This 335-nucleotide unclassified non-coding RNA is filed under the name soil metagenome. RNAcentral's name for it is "partial contains 5.8S ribosomal RNA, internal transcribed spacer 2, and large subunit ribosomal RNA". The stretch from base 1 to 120 matches the Rfam family "5.8S ribosomal RNA", at positions 35 to 154 of the family's 154-position model. The record is from RNAcentral.
GAUGAAGAACGCAGUGAAAUGCGAUAAGUAGUGUGAAUUGCAGAAUUCAGUGAAUCAUCGAAUCUUUGAACGCACAUUGCGCCCCUUGGUAUUCCAUGGGGCAUGCCUGUUCGAGCGUCAUUUGUACCUUCAAGCUUUGCUUGGUGUUGGGUGUUUGUCUCGCCUUUGCGUGUAGACUCGCCUUAAAAUAAUUGGCAGCCGGCGUAUUGAUUUCGGAGCGCAGUACAUCUCGCGCUUUGCACUCAUAACGACAGCGUCCAAAAGUACAUUUUACACUCUUGACCUCGGAUCAGGUAGGGAUACCCGCUGAACUUAAGCAUAUCAAUAGCGGAGGA